GCUGGCAUGGCUCAAUGGUAGAGCAGCUGACUUGUAAUCAGCAGGUUGUAGGUUCGAGUCCUAUUGCCAGCUCCA
This 75-nucleotide transfer RNA is filed under the name Clostridium isatidis. Its description in RNAcentral is "tRNA-Thr". It matches the Rfam family "tRNA". Rfam says of the family: Transfer RNA (tRNA) molecules are approximately 80 nucleotides in length. RNAcentral also lists the same sequence under 2 other names. The record is from RNAcentral. Lineage: Bacteria; Bacillati; Bacillota; Clostridia; Eubacteriales; Clostridiaceae.